UGCUUUGCGGGGUGCUUUACACAUGCAGUCGAACGGGAUCCAUCAGGCUUUGCUUGGUGGUGAGAGUGGCGAACGGGUGAGUAAUGCGUGACCGACCUGCCCCAUACACCGGAAUAGCUCCUGGAAACGGGUGGUAAUGCCGGAUGCUCCGACUCCUCGCAUGGGGUGUCGGGAAAGAUUUCAUCGGUAUGGGAUGGGGUCGCGUCCUAUCAGGUAGUCGGCGGGGUAACGGCCCACCGAGCCUACGACGGGUAGCCGGCCUGAGAGGGCGACCGGCCACAUUGGGACUGAGAUACGGCCCAGACUCCUACGGGAGGCAGCAGUGGGGAAUAUUGCACAAUGGGCGCAAGCCUGAUGCAGCGACGCCGCGUGCGGGAUGACGGCCUUCGGGUUGUAAACCGCUUUUGAUCGGGAGCAAGCCUUCGGGUGAGUGUACCUUUCGAAUAAGCACCGGCUAACUACGUGCCAGCAGCCGCGGUAAUACGUAGGGUGCAAGCGUUAUCCGGAAUUAUUGGGCGUAAAGGGCUCGUAGGCGGUUCGUCGCGUCCGGUGUGAAAGUCCAUCGCUUAACGGUGGAUCUGCGCCGGGUACGGGCGGGCUGGAGUGCGGUAGGGGAGACUGGAAUUCCCGGUGUAACGGUGGAAUGUGUAGAUAUCGGGAAGAACACCAAUGGCGAAGGCAGGUCUCUGGGCCGUUACUGACGCUGAGGAGCGAAAGCGUGGGGAGCGAACAGGAUUAGAUACCCUGGUAGUCCACGCCGUAAACGGUGGAUGCUGGAUGUGGGGCCCGUUCCACGGGUUCCGUGUCGGAGCUAACGCGUUAAGCAUCCCGCCUGGGGAGUACGGCCGCAAGGCUAAAACUCAAAGAAAUUGACGGGGGCCCGCACAAGCGGCGGAGCAUGCGGAUUAAUUCGAUGCAACGCGAAGAACCUUACCUGGGCUUGACAUGUUCCCGACAGCCGUAGAGAUAUGGCCUCCCUUCGGGGCGGGUUCACAGGUGGUGCAUGGUCGUCGUCAGCUCGUGUCGUGAGAUGUUGGGUUAAGUCCCGCAACGAGCGCAACCCUCGCCCUGUGUUGCCAGCACGUCAUGGUGGGAACUCACGGGGGACCGCCGGGGUCAACUCGGAGGAAGGUGGGGAUGACGUCAGAUCAUCAUGCCCCUUACGUCCAGGGCUUCACGCAUGCUACAAUGGCCGGUACAACGGGAUGCGACACGGCGACGUGGAGCGGAUCCCUGAAAACCGGUCUCAGUUCGGAUUGGAGUCUGCAACCCGACUCCAUGAAGGCGGAGUCGCUAGUAAUCGCGGAUCAGCAACGCCGCGGUGAAUGCGUUCCCGGGCCUUGUACACACCGCCCGUCAAGUCAUGAAAGUGGGUAGCACCCGAAGCCGGUGGCCUAACCCUUUGUGGAUGGAGCCGUCUAAGGGAGACUCGG
Molecule: ribosomal RNA, 1433 nt
Filed under: Bifidobacterium pseudocatenulatum
Lineage: Bacteria; Bacillati; Actinomycetota; Actinomycetes; Bifidobacteriales; Bifidobacteriaceae
Description: bacterial SSU rRNA
Rfam family: Bacterial small subunit ribosomal RNA
Source: RNAcentral